GACGGAGGAUGCAAGCGUUGUCCGGAAUUAUUGGGCGUAAAGAGCUCGUAGGCGGCCUGUUGCGUCCGCUGUGAAAUCCCGGGGCUUAACCCCGGGCGUGCAGUGGAUACGGGCUGGCUGGAGGCAGGCAGGGGAGAACGGAAUUCCCGGUGUAGCGGUGAAAUGCGCAGAUAUCGGGAGGAACACCGGUGGCGAAGGCGGUUCUCUGGGCCUUACCUGACGCUGAGGAGCGAAAGCGUGGGGAGCGAACAGG
Molecule: ribosomal RNA, 253 nt
Filed under: uncultured bacterium
Lineage: Bacteria
Description: partial 16S ribosomal RNA
Rfam family: Bacterial small subunit ribosomal RNA
Source: RNAcentral